UUAAGUUAGAAAGGGCGCACGGUGGAUGCCUUGACACUAGGAGUCGAUGAAGGACGGGACUAACGCCGAUAUGCUUCGGGGAGCUGUAAGUAAGCUUUGAUCCGAAGAUUUCCGAAUGGGGAAACCCACCAUACGUAAUGGUAUGGUAUCCUUAUCUGAAUACAUAGGGUAAGGAAGACAGACCCAGGGAACUGAAACAUCUAAGUACCUGGAGGAAGAGAAAGCAAAUGCGAUUUCCUGAGUAGCGGCGAGCGAAACGGAACAUAGCCCAAACCAAGAGGCUUGCCUCUUGGGGUUGUAGGACAUUCUAUACGGAGUUACAAAGGAACGAGGUAGACGAAGCGACCUGGAAAGGUCCGUCGUAGAGGGUAACAACCCCGUAGUCGAAACUUCGUUCUCUCUUGAAUGUAUCCUGAGUACGGCGGAACACGUGAAAUUCCGUCGGAAUCUGGGAGGACCAUCUCCCAAGGCUAAAUACUCCCUAGUGAUCGAUAGUGAACCAGUACCGUGAGGGAAAGGUGAAAAGCACCCCGGAAGGGGAGUGAAAGAGAUCCUGAAACCGUGUGCCUACAAAUAGUCAGAGCCCGUUAACGGGUGAUGGCGUGCCUUUUGUAGAAUGAACCGGCGAGUUACGAUCCCGUGCGAGGUUAAGCUGAAGAGGCGGAGCCGCAGCGAAAGCGAGUCUGAAUAGGGCGUUUAGUACGUGGUCGUAGACCCGAAACCAGGUGAUCUACCCAUGUCCAGGGUGAAGUUCAGGUAACACUGAAUGGAGGCCCGAACCCACGCACGUUGAAAAGUGCGGGGAUGAGGUGUGGGUAGCGGAGAAAUUCCAAUCGAACCUGGAGAUAGCUGGUUCUCCCCGAAAUAGCUUUAGGGCUAGCCUUAAGUGUAAGAGUCUUGGAGGUAGAGCACUGAUUGGACUAGGGGUCCUCAUCGGAUUACCGAAUUCAGUCAAACUCCGAAUGCCAAUGACUUAUCCUUAGGAGUCAGACUGCGAGUGAUAAGAUCCGUAGUCAAAAGGGAAACAGCCCAGACCGCCAGCUAAGGUCCCAAAGUGUGUAUUAAGUGGAAAAGGAUGUGGAGUUGCUUAGACAACUAGGAUGUUGGCUUAGAAGCAGCCACCAUUUAAAGAGUGCGUAAUAGCUCACUAGUCGAGUGACUCUGCGCCGAAAAUGUACCGGGGGCUAAAUACACCACCGAAGCUGCGGAUUGAUACCAAUGGUAUCAGUGGUAGGGGAGCGUUCUAAGGACAGUGAAGUCAGACCGGAAGGACUGGUGGAGUGCUUAGAAGUGAGAAUGCCGGUAUGAGUAGCGAAAGACGGGUGAGAAUCCCGUCCACCGAAUGCCUAAGGUUUCCUGAGGAAGGCUCGUCCGCUCAGGGUUAGUCAGGACCUAAGCCGAGGCCGACAGGCGUAGGCGAUGGACAACAGGUUGAUAUUCCUGUACCACCUCUUUAUCGUUUGAGCAAUGGAGGGACGCAGAAGGAUAGAAGAAGCGUGCGAUUGGUUGUGCACGUCCAAGCAGUUAGGCUGAUAAGUAGGCAAAUCCGCUUAUCGUAAAGGCUGAGCUGUGAUGGGGAAGCUCCUUAUGGAGCGAAAGUCUUUGAUUCCCCGCUGCCAGAAAAGCUUCUAGCGAGAUAAAAGGUGCCUGUACCGCAACCGACACAGGUAGCGAGGAGAGAAUCCUAAGGUGUGCGAGAGAACUCUGGUUAAGGAACUCGGCAAAAUGACCCCGUAACUUCGGGAGAAGGGGUGCUUUCUUAACGGAAAGCCGCAGUGAAUAGGCCCAAGCGACUGUUUAGCAAAAACACAGCUCUCUGCGAAGCCGUAAGGCGAAGUAUAGGGGGUGACACCUGCCCGGUGCUGGAAGGUUAAGGAGAGGGGUUAGCGUAAGCGAAGCUCUGAACUGAAGCCCCAGUAAACGGCGGCCGUAACUAUAACGGUCCUAAGGUAGCGAAAUUCCUUGUC
Molecule: ribosomal RNA, 1967 nt
Filed under: Bacillus cereus
Lineage: Bacteria; Bacillati; Bacillota; Bacilli; Caryophanales; Bacillaceae
Description: bacterial LSU rRNA
Rfam family: Bacterial large subunit ribosomal RNA
Source: RNAcentral